Molecule: non-coding RNA, 349 nt
Organism: Ictidomys tridecemlineatus (thirteen-lined ground squirrel)
Lineage: Eukaryota; Metazoa; Chordata; Mammalia; Rodentia; Sciuridae
Source: RefSeq, a predicted model, not a curated record
CCUUCACCGCCAUCUAGUCAACAAUAUCCUCACCAUCCCAAAUGGAAACCUUGUCCCCAUUCAACUGUCCAUGGAAGAAGCCUGUGUACUAGAUGACCUCUAGGACCCAGACCCAGCUGCUGGCCUUCACUCCUGCCCAGAGGAUGCCUCAGGCUCCCUCACUGCCCCACCUCAGCACAUUCUAGAGUCACAAGGAUCGAGCUGGUGCAGCCAGAGCCCCAGCCAUCAUCUCCAGCCCUUCCUAAAUAUCACAUGGCUCUCAGCACCCCUUGGGGAGAGAGGAGAUGCCACUGCUCUCAUGGCCAUGUGGAGGGCACUGAGUCAAUAAACACCUCAUUCAAACUUCUCA